RNAcentral lists this ribosomal RNA (468 nucleotides) under uncultured bacterium. RNAcentral describes it as "partial 16S ribosomal RNA". It matches the Rfam family "Bacterial small subunit ribosomal RNA", at positions 28 to 507 of the family's 1533-position model. The record is from RNAcentral.
GACGAACGCUGGCGGCGUGCUUAACACAUGCAAGUCGAACGGAAAGGCCCUGCUUUUGUGGGGUGCUCGAGUGGCGAACGGGUGAGUAACACGUGAGUAACCUGCCCUUGACUUUGGGAUAACUUCAGGAAACUGGGGCUAAUACCGGAUAGGAGCUCCUGCUGCAUGAUGGGGGUUGGAAAGUUUCGGCGGUUGGGGAUGGACUCGCGGCUUAUCAGCUUGUUGGUGGGGUAGUGGCUUACCAAGGCUUUGACGGGUAGCCGGCCUGAGAGGGUGACCGGCCACAUUGGGACUGAGAUACGGCGCAGACGGCUACGGGAGGCAGCAGUGGGGAAUAUUGCACAAUGGGCGGGAGCCUGAUGCAGCAGCGCCGCGUGCGGGAUGACGGGCUUCGGGUUGUGAACCGCUUUCGCCUGUGACGAAGCGUGAGUGACGGUAAUGGGUAAAGAAGCACCGGCUAACUACGUG